GGUGAGAUGGCCGAGCGGUCUAAGGCGCCAGACUAAGGACCAACGCGUUCUGACGCGUAAAGUAAUCUGGUCCUCCGGGGCGUGGGUUCGAAUCCCACUCUCAUCA
Non-coding RNA from Marasmius sp. AFHP31, 106 nucleotides. The record is from the annotation of a GenBank genome assembly. NCBI's taxonomy places the organism in Eukaryota, Fungi, Basidiomycota, Agaricomycetes, Agaricales, Marasmiaceae.